GACGUUGGCCUCGAAUCUACUCUCUCGUUAUGAACAGAUCUGAACGAAUGAAAAGUUUAAAAGAUCCCAAGAUUUAGAGUAGUAGUGAAAAGAAAAAGUGUUGUGUAUGGUAAGAUUUCAAGAAUGUUAAAAAAAAAACCCCUUUUUGGCUGAGUGCUUGAGACAAUAUUUAUAGGUGAAGUUGAAACUCUAGGGUUUUGUUUGGGCGGGAUUUUGAGGCUAAGGUUUUGAAUUUCAAAACAUCCAUUAAAGAA
Lycium ferocissimum is the source of this 254-nucleotide long non-coding RNA. RefSeq lists it as uncharacterized. The record is from RefSeq and is a predicted model, not a curated record. The transcript is spliced from 2 exons. Lineage: Eukaryota; Viridiplantae; Streptophyta; Magnoliopsida; Solanales; Solanaceae.